GGACCCGUAGCAAGCCAAACUUACAUACUAUUCCCUGGUCAAAUCCCAUACAUGAUUAAAACUUAACCAUAAAAACAUGAAAACUGAACAUCUGCUGAACCCAAACCUGACCUGUGCAUGUAACCUGACAUGAAACAUACAUCAUAAAAUCAUAAAACCUCCACUGGAGUCCUCAUCAAAUACUCCAAUGGGGUAACAUUACAUGCCUCAAGUUUGG
This 217-nucleotide long non-coding RNA is filed under the name Manihot esculenta (cassava). Its description in RNAcentral is "long non-coding RNA (MESC_LNC009104)". Lineage: Eukaryota; Viridiplantae; Streptophyta; Magnoliopsida; Malpighiales; Euphorbiaceae. The record is from RNAcentral.